GCUUGCACUCGGUUGAGAAGAGUCUCAUCCGGUAGAGCGAAUGAUUAGAGGCAUUGGGGUCGAAACGACCUCAACCUAUUCUCAAACUCCAAAUAGAUGA
This 100-nucleotide ribosomal RNA is filed under the name Gageus micropterus. RNAcentral's name for it is "partial 28S ribosomal RNA". The stretch from base 21 to 100 matches the Rfam family "Eukaryotic large subunit ribosomal RNA", at positions 997 to 1076 of the family's 3401-position model. The record is from RNAcentral. Lineage: Eukaryota; Metazoa; Arthropoda; Insecta; Hemiptera; Reduviidae.